RNAcentral lists this unclassified non-coding RNA (437 nucleotides) under uncultured Tomentella. RNAcentral describes it as "sequence contains ITS2". The stretch from base 1 to 155 matches the Rfam family "5.8S ribosomal RNA". The record is from RNAcentral. Lineage: Eukaryota; Fungi; Basidiomycota; Agaricomycetes; Thelephorales; Thelephoraceae.
AACUUUUAACAACGGAUCUCUUGGCUCUCGCAUCGAUGAAGAACGCAGCGAAAUGCGAUAGGUAAUGUGAAUUGCAGAAUUCAGUGAAUCAUCGAAUCUUUGAACGCACCUUGCGCCCCCUAGCUAUUCCAAGGGGCAUGCCUGUUUGAGUAUCAUGAACACCUCAACUCUCAUGGUUUGCCAUGAUGAGCUUGGACUCUGUUGUUUUUGCUGGACUGUUGUUUGGUCCUCUGAAAUGAGUCAGUUUGCUUGUUUUUGGUGGCGCUAUGGGUGUGUUGACUCUCUACGCCUGGGGUCGUCCCCCGGCUAACCUUCAAUUAUGGGGCUUCGCUGGUGCUUAAAAAUGUCUCUCCUCAGCGAAGACAGCUAUUUUGACGUUCGAACUCAAAUCAGGUAGGACUACCCGCUGAACUUAAGCAUAUCAAGAAGCGUAGGCU